CCUACGGGUGGCAGCAGUGGGGAAUAUUCCACAAUGGGCGAAAGCCUGAUGCAGCAACGCCGCGUGGGUGAAGAAGGUCUUCGGAUCGUAAAACCCUGUUGUUAGAGAAGAAAAUGCGUGCGAGUGACUGUUCACGUUUCGCCUGUAUCUUACCAGCAGGCGACGGCUAACUAAGUGCCAGCAGCCGCGGUAAUACGUCGGUGGCAAGCGUUAUCCGGAUUUAUUGGGCGUAACGGGACCGCAGGCGUGCUGUUAAGUCUGAUGUGAAAGCAUGCGGCUUAACCGGAGGAGUGCAUUGGAGACUGGGAGACUUGAGUGCAGAAGAGGAGAGCGGAACUCCAGGUGUAGCGGUGAAAUGCGUAGAUAUAAGGAAGAACACCAGUGGCGAAGGCGGCUUUCUGGUCUGUAACUGACGUUGAGGCUCGAAAGCGUGGGUAGCAAACAGGAUUAGAUACCCUAGUAGUC
RNAcentral lists this ribosomal RNA (465 nucleotides) under uncultured bacterium. RNAcentral describes it as "partial 16S ribosomal RNA". It matches the Rfam family "Bacterial small subunit ribosomal RNA", at positions 338 to 795 of the family's 1533-position model. The record is from RNAcentral.